Molecule: long non-coding RNA, 3548 nt
Organism: Conger conger (European conger)
Lineage: Eukaryota; Metazoa; Chordata; Actinopteri; Anguilliformes; Congridae
Exons: 3
Source: RefSeq, a predicted model, not a curated record
GUGUGUGUGCGUGUGUGUGUGUGUGUAUGCCUGCCUAACAUACAGAGCGUGUGUGGGUGUGUGUCUGUGCGUAUGCCUGCACACCGUACAGGGUGUGUGUGUGUGUGUGUGUGUGUGUGUCUGCGCACCGUCCAGCUUGCGGCUGUUCAGCUUGAGGCGGUUGAAAGGGUUGGUGCCGAAGAGCAGGGCGUGGCGCUCUGAAUGCACCGAGCGCAGCUCCUCCUGGGUGGCCUUCCGGCCUGGGAUUCGCUGAGGAGGGAAGGAGGGAGGGGUUAGAGGUGCAAUCAGGGCAGUCUUAGAGGGAUAUCUGUGAAUGAGGCAGGGGUGGGGGCGGUGGAGGUCACCCACCUCACAGUUAGUCCUGAGGCCUCUCUCCUGCAGCCGGGACCAGACACUCUGGAUCCUGCCAGCGUGCUCGGGGUGGUUGCUGUUGUCUCCACAGGUGCACUGGUGCUUUAGCAUUUGAGAGUCAUAAACAAGGCCUACAAAUACAUACACCCAUGUACACACACACACACACACACAGAAAAACACACAACAAAAAAUUACAAUUACAAUUUCGGCCUCUCCUAUAUCACCAUCUCAAAGAGUCACUGUAGAUCUGAUGUGUAUGAUAUGAUGAACUGAUAAUAAACCAUGACCUUCCCCCUAUCUGUAACGCCACUGGCCCAUACUGAAUAAAUCCAUUCCCUCUGUCUCACUAUCCCUGCCCCCUGCCCCCUACCCACUACACCCAAUCCCUGCCCCCUGCCCCCUACCCACUACACCCAAUCCCUGCCCCCUGCCCCCUACCCACUACACCCAAACCCUGCCACCAAGCUCCACAUAUCUCUAUCUCCUACCUCCUACCACCUCAGAACCCCUCUAGCACCUCCUAUAUGUCUGUCCCCUAUCGCAGGGGUGUCAAAUUCCAGUCCUUGAGGGCCGCAGUGUCUCCUGGUUUUUGGUGUUUCAGCAAGAGAGAUGAAUGAAGUCUUUAAUUGGGCAAAGAGUCCACGCACCUUGUUCUCAAGGCCUUAAUUGGCUGCUGAUUGAAAGGAAACCACAAAUACCAGCAUACACUGCGGCCCUCCAGGACUGGAGUUUGACACCCCUGCCCUAUCAUGUUGCCUCCUAGCCGUGUAACACCGGACCCGGACUCUUGCAGGGCUCUACAUUAUAGGAGAAUUUGUUCCUAAAAUGUUAAUGUAGAGCCCUGCCAAGUGGCCAGUCCUUUUACCCUCUCCCCUCUAGCACCUAGCCCCUAUUCUCUCCCCCUGGGUCCCAGGGCAGCAUACCCGUGGUGAAGCGCGGUUUGCUGGAGAUCUCGGCGGUGGGGAGCGGGUGAGGAUUCUCUGGAUGUGUGAGGGAGGUGGAGGCGGGCGAGGACUGGGUGCGAGACAGGGAGCGGUGCAUUAUGGGAACGGCCAUUUUCUCCGUGUGAGGUAUGUGCCUUCGUAGCUGCUGCAUCUGCGUCUCCCAUAGCAACGGCUGUGGGUGAAGAGGACAAGAUGGAGCAAAGAUGGAGCAGAGAUGGAGCAGAGAUGGAGCAGAGAUGGAGAGGGUAACUGUCUUGGUGCAAACGAUCCUGUGGUUUUUUUUGUUUUUCUGUAAACAUGGCACUUUAUUGCCCCCUGCUGGAUAGGAAGAGGUAAGGCAAGACUCCUAAAAACCCUCAUGGUGUUAAAGGUACAAUAGGUAAUUUCAGACUUCUAACGGUCAAGAGAGGAAUAGCAGCAACAAACACCUUCAAACCAUAACACCGUUUAUCCCUCUCCCUUCUCUGUAAACACGCUGACAUUGCAACGCCAUUAGAACCAAUUUUCAACCAAUGAGCUUGAAUUAUUGCACAGUUAUUUAAUGUUUUGGUCAGGCCAUCAGCUGUAUAUUUUGAAACCCGAAUUUAAGGACUAUAAACAAAGGCAGAGGGUGCGUGAACACAAUACAACAGUUUUGUCAGCAUCACUUUUCCACUGGUGAACUUUAUCCAUCAAUCACUUUGGCAGCUUUGGCUAAUUUCCAGCUAUUUUAAUGCACAGUAAUAAUGUUUUGGUCAUAAGCAUUCUAUUUGCAUUUAUAAUGCGUUUGUAAUCUUGCAAAUGAAUCAGUACACUGCUAUUUUUGAGCUUACACAAAGUCCACAUAACAGCCUAGAAACAAAUGUGCAUGCUCAUGUAAUAAUGUAACAAUAAUUAUGUCCAAUUAUAGCACUGUAACUCUCCCUCCUCAGCAAAUGAUACCCUGCCCUCAUGUGGUAGGAAGCAGAACUGCAGUUAUGAAAAGUGAAGCGUUCAACUCUUGCCUGGUGAAGGGUGUGCUGCAUGUUGACAUGGUCCUCAUUGGCUGGAACACACUCCACUUCAUGCAGAGGCUCAGCCACUCUGCUGUGAUUGGUGUGACUGAGCCCUGGCCCCACCUCUUCUGAGUCCAUAUCCUCUGAGGGUAUCUGUCUGAGGCGGGGCUUCUCGCUGGACUUGGACAUCAGCUGCACAACAGACAGACAGGGGUGCGAUACCUGGAUGGAUGUGUGAGAGAAACUGUUUAAGCAAAUUUCUGGAGAAACUUUUUCAGAAUGCUGACUCCAGCUUUCAUUGGCAUGACCCUUAAAGAGUGAUGUUCUAUAACAAUACAGGAUAAGGCUACAUGUGUGAAAACAUGACAGAAUCCCUGCUGUGGCUUAUAGAGACAAAACUGAAGAAAACCACAGGCAAAAAUGGGUAAAUCCCAAAAACAAUACAUUUAAAACAAGAGAAGGAAAUGGAUCCACUUACGUACAGAUGCAUUUCUACCUUUUUCUACCUUCUGUAUUUAAUUUUUUCCACGUGUGCCAGAACAGACUGAGGUAAUAACGUGGUGUUUUGUCCAAAGCCUUUGUCUGGAGCUCAACAAGUGCACUAUUAUUAUAAUGAUGUUAUGGGGAUUGUAGUUCAUAUUCUGGAUGUCCCAGCAAAAUAAACAGCAUUGUAUUGUGCAACUAACUGCCUUGUGGCAGCUAAAAUAAAAGCAACACUGAAAACCACUGAAAAACAGAACUAAUAGUGUGGUACGAUGAAAGACUUCAGACACAAGGGGGCAGCAUGGUCCACUGUGUGUACAGCAGCAAAAUGUUUCUCUGUGCGGUGUCUGUGUGCCAGUGCAGAUUAGUGAUCAGGACCUCUCUUCUUCUUUGACAGAGAUUAACUUUGUUUCAAACUCAUAUUUCUUAUAAACGUGUUGGUUUGAUGGACAAGGCUGGUUCAAUUGCCGACAGAAAUGUAAUUACUGUAUGUACAACUCAUUUGCUCCAUCUUUAACUUAAUCUAUGACAUGUUUGUUCGUUGUGACAAACAAUGUAUCACUGGUUUUUCUGAAGACUGAAUAGUUCAAUUAACCCUAAAAGAGAGCUGAGGAAUUUUGGGACUUCAGGGCAUGUAUGGCAGGAGUGAAGACCCCAGUUGUGGUCCUGGGCCACCAAGUUCUGUUUAGGACAUAACACAACUGAACAAGAAUUUCAGCUACUACCUACACAGUGUCAGGAAUCUUUGACUACAAAGCUUCAAUGCAACAGAAUAAAGGAAGCAAUUAACAUG